GACCACGUGGCCUAAUGGACAAGGCGUUUGACUUCGAAUCAGAAGGUUGAGGGUUCGAGUCCCUUCGUGGUUG
Molecule: non-coding RNA, 73 nt
Organism: Limanda limanda (common dab)
Lineage: Eukaryota; Metazoa; Chordata; Actinopteri; Pleuronectiformes; Pleuronectidae
Source: the annotation of a RefSeq genome assembly